RNAcentral lists this ribosomal RNA (169 nucleotides) under Paraclostridium sordellii. RNAcentral describes it as "partial 23S ribosomal RNA". It matches the Rfam family "Bacterial large subunit ribosomal RNA", at positions 2754 to 2925 of the family's 2925-position model. Lineage: Bacteria; Bacillati; Bacillota; Clostridia; Peptostreptococcales; Peptostreptococcaceae. The record is from RNAcentral.
UACGGAAUGGAUAAGCGCUGAAAGCAUCUAAGCGCGAAGCCAACUUCAAGAUAAGAUUUCCCACCGUAAGGGUAAGAUCCCAGGAAGACUACCUGGUUGAUAGGUCAAAGGUGUAAGUGCAGCAAUGUAUGUAGCUUAUUGAUACUAAUAGAUCGAGGACUUGACCAAG